Capsicum annuum is the source of this 117-nucleotide non-coding RNA. Lineage: Eukaryota; Viridiplantae; Streptophyta; Magnoliopsida; Solanales; Solanaceae. The record is from Rfam.
AGCCACGCAUUGAGCACAUAGCGAAUUAUUCUUUCGCCUUUUACUAAAGAAUACCGUGUGCUUGUUGCAACAAGUGGCAUACGCCAAUUUUUGGAAGGGUCUCUCUUUAGGGAAACC